RNAcentral lists this ribosomal RNA (476 nucleotides) under uncultured bacterium. RNAcentral describes it as "partial 16S ribosomal RNA". It matches the Rfam family "Bacterial small subunit ribosomal RNA", at positions 30 to 506 of the family's 1533-position model. The record is from RNAcentral.
AUUGAACGCUGGCGGCAUGCCUUACACAUGCAAGUCGAACGGUAACAGGUUAAGCUGCCGCGUGGCGAACGGGUGAGUAAUGUAUCGGAACGUGCCCAGUCGUGGGGGAUAACUGCUCGAAAGAGCAGCUAAUACCGCAUACGACCUGAGGGUGCAAGCGGGGGAUCGCAAGACCUCGCGCGAUUGGAGCGGCCGAUAUCAGAUUAGGUAGUUGGUGAGGUAAAGGCUCACCAAGCCGACGAUCUGUAGCUGGUCUGAGAGGACGACCAGCCACACUGGGACUGAGACACGGCCCAGACUCCUACGGGAGGCAGCAGUGGGGAAUUUUGGACAAUGGGCGCAAGCCUGAUCCAGCCAUGCCGCGUGCGGGAAGAAGGCCUUCGGGUUGUAAACCGCUUUUGUCAGGGAAGAAAAGGUUCUGGCUAAUACCUGGGACUCAUGACGGUACCUGAAGAAUAAGCACCGGCUAACUACGU